Molecule: ribosomal RNA, 908 nt
Filed under: uncultured bacterium
Lineage: Bacteria
Description: bacterial SSU rRNA
Rfam family: Bacterial small subunit ribosomal RNA
Source: RNAcentral
UCUAGGCAUGCAAGUCGACGGUCAUACCUUGAAGGCAACGGAUGGGUAUGAUAGUGGCGAACGGGUGAGGAAUACAUAGAUAACGUACCCUAGACUCAGGGAUAGCGGCGUCUGCCGAAAGGCAGGCUUUGCGAAAGUGCCGGUAAUACCUGAUGACCCCGCGGGAUCGCAUGGUCCUGCGGGCAAAGCUCCGGCGGUCUGGGAUCGGUUUAUGCCCUAUCAGCUAGUUGGUGAGGUAACGGCCCACCAAGGCAUCGACGGGUAUCGGGCGUGAGAGCGUGACCCGACACAUCGGAACUGAGACACGGUCCGGACACCUACGGGUGGCUGCAGCAACGAAUAUUCCGCAAUGGGCGCAAGCCUGACGGAGCGACGCCGCGUGCAGGAAGAAGUCCUUCGGGAUGUAAACUGCUGUCAGGGGUGAGGAAAACUGACCAACCCCAGAGGAAGCACCGGCUAACUCCGUGCCAGCAGCCGCGGUAAUACGGAGGGUGCGAGCGUUGUUCGGAAUCACUGGGCUUAAAGCGCGUGUAGGCGGGUCGUUAAGUGUUGGGUGAAAUCCCUCGGCUCAACCGAGGAACUGCCCGGCAUACUGGCGGUCUUGAGGCAUGUAGAGGUGACUGGAACGACUGGUGGAGCGGUGAAAUGCGUAGAUAUCAGUUGGAACGCCGGAGGCGAAAGCGGGUCGCUGGGCAUGUCCUGACGCUGAGACGCGAAAGCGUGGGUAGCAAACAGGAUUAGAUACCCUGGUAGUCCACGCCGUAAACGAUGCGCACUAGGUCUGAGAGGCUCUCACGCCGAUCGAGCCGAAGCAAAAGUGCUAAGUGCGCCGCCUGGGGAGUACGGCCGCAAGGCUAAAACUCAAAGGAAUUGACGGGGGCUCACACAAGCGGUGGAGUAUGUGGAUU